AGACGUCUACAUUAGAUACCCGGGUAGUCCCAGCCCUAAACGAUGCGCGUUAGGUGUAUCGGUGACCACGAGUCACCGAGGUGCCGAAGGGAAACCGUGAAACGUGCCGCCUGGGAAGUACGGUCGCAAGGCUGAAACUUAAAGGAAUUGGCGGGGAGCACCACAACGGGUGGAGCCUGCGGCUUAAUUGGACUCAACGCCGGGAAGCUCACCGGAUAAGACAGCGGAAUGAUUGCCGGGCUGAAGACCCUGCAUGACCAGCUG
This 264-nucleotide ribosomal RNA is filed under the name uncultured archaeon. RNAcentral describes it as "partial 16S ribosomal RNA". It matches the Rfam family "Archaeal small subunit ribosomal RNA", at positions 717 to 982 of the family's 1478-position model. The record is from RNAcentral.